This 1361-nucleotide ribosomal RNA is filed under the name uncultured bacterium. RNAcentral describes it as "bacterial SSU rRNA". It matches the Rfam family "Bacterial small subunit ribosomal RNA", at positions 28 to 1381 of the family's 1533-position model. The record is from RNAcentral.
AUUGAACGCUGGCGGCAGGCCUAACACAUGCAAGUCGAGCGGUAGCACAGAGAGCUUGCUCUCGGGUGACGAGCGGCGGACGGGUGAGUAAUGUCUGGGAAACUGCCUGAUGGAGGGGGAUAACUACUGGAAACGGUAGCUAAUACCGCAUAACGUCGCAAGACCAAAGUGGGGGACCUUCGGGCCUCAUGCCAUCAGAUGUGCCCAGAUGGGAUUAGCUAGUAGGUGGGGUAACGGCUCACCUAGGCGACGAUCCCUAGCUGGUCUGAGAGGAUGACCAGCCACACUGGAACUGAGACACGGUCCAGACUCCUACGGGAGGCAGCAGUGGGGAAUAUUGCACAAUGGGCGCAAGCCUGAUGCAGCCAUGCCGCGUGUGUGAAGAAGGCCUUCGGGUUGUAAAGCACUUUCAGCGGGGAGGAAGGCGGUGAGGUUAAUAACCUCAUCGAUUGACGUUACCCGCAGAAGAAGCACCGGCUAACUCCGUGCCAGCAGCCGCGGUAAUACGGAGGGUGCAAGCGUUAAUCGGAAUUACUGGGCGUAAAGCGCACGCAGGCGGUCUGUCAAGUCGGAUGUGAAAUCCCUGGGCUCAACCUGGGAACUGCAUUCGAAACUGGCAGGCUAGAGUCUUGUAGAGGGGGGUAGAAUUCCAGGUGUAGCGGUGAAAUGCGUAGAGAUCUGGAGGAAUACCGGUGGCGAAGGCGGCCCCCUGGACAAAGACUGACGCUCAGGUGCGAAAGCGUGGGGAGCAAACAGGACUAGAUACCCUGGUAGUCCACGCCGUAAACGAUGUCGAUUUGGAGGUUGUGCCCUUGAGGCGUGGCUUCCGGAGCUAACGCGUUAAAUCGACCGCCUGGGGAGUACGGCCGCAAGGUUAAAACUCAAAUGAAUUGACGGGGGCCCGCACAAGCGGUGGAGCAUGUGGUUUAAUUCGAUGCAACGCGAAGAACCUUACCUGGUCUUGACAUCCACAGGACUUUCCAGAGAUGGAUUGGUGCCUUCGGGAACUGUGAGACAGGUGCUGCAUGGCUGUCGUCAGCUCGUGUUGUGAAAUGUUGGGUUAAGUCCCGCAACGAGCGCAACCCUUAUCCUUUGUUGCCAGCGGUCCGGCCGGGAACUCAAAGGAGACUGCCAGUGAUAAACUGGAGGAAGGUGGGGAUGACGUCAAGUCAUCAUGGCCCUUACGACCAGGGCUACACACGUGCUACAAUGGCAUAUACAAAGAGAAGCGACCUCGCGAGAGCAAGCGGACCUCAUAAAGUAUGUCGUAGUCCGGAUUGGAGUCUGCAACUCGACUCCAUGAAGUCGGAAUCGCUAGUAAUCGUGGAUCAGAAUGCUACGGUGAAUACGUUCCCGGGCCU